Penaeus monodon (black tiger shrimp) is the source of this 329-nucleotide long non-coding RNA. RefSeq lists it as uncharacterized. The record is from RefSeq and is a predicted model, not a curated record. The transcript is spliced from 3 exons. NCBI's taxonomy places the organism in Eukaryota, Metazoa, Arthropoda, Malacostraca, Decapoda, Penaeidae.
GUAUCUUUCAAGUAGCUUCUGUGGCGGUUGUGAGAGCCUCGCCGCUUAUUUUGCCGAAACCAUAGAGAGAACCGGGAGCCUGACCCAGGACGUGUAGCUGUUAGUAAAUGCAUAUGCAUGUAAGUUACUUCGCCUCGAGACUUGGAAACAGAAGAAACAGACAGGAAGACAAACUUUCAAAAGACUGAAUAACAAAGAGCAAAUGACGAAAACUUUAUAACGGAAUCAACACAACGGAUACACAGUAAUAACGAAGACAAAAUAAGGAAGAAACACAACGAAGCGAAAAUAAUGAAUAACAUAACGACGAUAAAAAGGACGAAGCAAAA